This 261-nucleotide long non-coding RNA is filed under the name Physcomitrium patens. RNAcentral's name for it is "long non-coding RNA (PPAT_LNC005267)". The record is from RNAcentral. Lineage: Eukaryota; Viridiplantae; Streptophyta; Bryopsida; Funariales; Funariaceae.
UGAGGUUCUUCUGAGACACACUUAACCCUAAACAUUAAGUGAACCAGAAGUCACCAGGGUGCAUGUCUUGCUGGUAUUCACACGCAACCAGCUAAUUGUGACUUUCCUGGGAAGACUUCUACUGAUUCCCGCAAGCCUUCCCCUUCUUUCCCUAUUUAGAGUAUAAUUUUCUAUUACUCUAAUUAUUUCAUAUAUGCCGAAUCAAUUACGUCAAAUGAUUUAUGAACAAGGUGUCGAUCUGGAUGCCAAUCCUUGGAUAGC